RNAcentral lists this non-coding RNA (99 nucleotides) under Desulforamulus aeronauticus. Its description in RNAcentral is "Desulfotomaculum aeronauticum TPP sequence". It matches the Rfam family "TPP riboswitch aptamer (THI element)". Rfam says of the family: Vitamin B(1) in its active form thiamin pyrophosphate (TPP) is an essential coenzyme that is synthesised by coupling of pyrimidine and thiazole moieties in bacteria. The previously detected thiamin-regulatory element, thi box was extended, resulting in a new, highly conserved RNA secondary structure, the THI element, which is widely distributed in eubacteria and also occurs in some archaea. The record is from RNAcentral. Lineage: Bacteria; Bacillati; Bacillota; Clostridia; Eubacteriales; Peptococcaceae.
AAUACAUGCUAGGGGUGCCUAACGGCUGAGAGGAGAUCAACUCCAACCCUUGAACCUGAUGUGGCUAAUACCACCGUAGGGAAGCUUUCAUGUGUUUAC